UACAAUAACAUAAUUUACAUUCAUAAGUGUAAUAUAGAAAGAGUUGAUUAUUACAUAACCGGGUUCUAAGUGCUUAAACUUAUUACAUCACAGGAUGGCAAAACACCUUCCAAAGGUAGUUCUUAGUUUUCUUCCUCCUGCUUUGGAACAACCUUGGAGUAGAAACAACAGAACUCAGCAGUUUCAUCACCUACAACAACAUGGGUUUGAAAACCCUGAGUAUGGAGUGUACUUUCGCAAGUCUUACCGGUUUAAGGAAAAAAACUUUCAAGGAUAUGCUGGCCUUUAGGAACCAAGGUAAAGCUUAUCAAGAUUCAAAGACUCAUUUUGCAGAAAAGCUUACUAUGAGUGGAUCCUUAAGAAUUCAUUUUACUCAUCAGGUUAAGUAAUUACCUGCAUCUAGAUUCCUUUCUAUUCUUAGAUCAAGCACUUGGCCUAUUCUAGCCAUCUUUUAUCACCCCUUCAGUUCACUUAUCGCUACGUGUAGGGCAGUGACCAAGUCUUCAUGUCCGAGAAUCUCCAACCACACGACAUAUGUAGCACUUAACCCUUGCAUAUGUCAACUCGCACUCGGGUUUCUCAAGACCAGAAUGGGUUCACGCCAACCGAGACAGCAGAUACUCCAUCGUUCAGCCUCUUUCCACGGAGGGUACAUGCUACUCUCGUCAUCUCUCCACUCCUCUUGCGUGGUGGCUUUUCUGGUAUUGGUCUGACUGAGGCAAAGCUUACACAUGAUGAGGCAUGUGGCUAGUUAAAAGGCCCUCGAUCAUCAAGCCUCGAUCGGCUCGGUCCUUAAACGACUCAGACGAAGAAACUACACCAAGACUUCCUUCUCGUGCAAGCACCCACCCGGUCUCGUCUUUAUCAUUUUCACCCAAAGUUUGGUACUUGAUAGAGGUACGCUUUUCCAAUGUUGAACCCAUCACGGCCGUGGUGGAUCCACCAUCAUAAGUCUUUUCUUUGUAAAAAUCCCCAUCCAGUGUGAAGCAUCAUCUUUUUCAAAACAAAACAUUUUGUUUUCUACAACAAGACAUCAUGAAAAUCCUUAUCAUAAAGAGGUAUCACGAAAUGAUAAUCAUUUUUUUCCAAGGAAGGAAAAUGCAUCAAUUGUUUAGCACACAACUCAUAUCACCUAAUGCAUCAUAUAAGGUGAUAAAGAUUUUAAAACAUCAAGGAAAGGGUAAAAUGCAACGGGGCUUGCAUUCUGUUGUAGGAGUUUCUAUUUCCACACCGUAGAUGUCGAAAUAAAAGUUGUUUUCCACUGGAGGAUUCUCGGUCUCGGAGACAACUUCUUCUACUACGGAUUCUUCCUCAUGUUUUAUACAUGAUAAUACAUGUACAUGAAUGCUUAUGCUAUGUCAUGAAUAUCCAAUCAUACAAUAGAAAUAUAGUAAGUUGCGUCUUGAAUACAACUUUCCUUCACGGUACGAAUCAAUCACUAAGAUUUCCUAGUUAGGUGUUCCUUUAGGAUUAUUAUUAAAUAAUUAAUCCUAAGAAGCUAGUUAUUGGGUUUUCUGCUCAAACAGUUUCCAAACUAUUUCAAACUUCACUUAGGGUCUCUGACCAUCAUAUUAACCUACCCAAAAAGUUUUAUGAUUUUUGGAAUCACUAAACUAUUUCUAAAAUUCUAAAAUGAUUUAUUUAAGCACCUUUAAAAGCUACAUAAUUCCAGGUUUGAACUAAAAAUCUUGGAAUUAUUUUUAUUAAAUACUACUCGAUUUUGGAAAUCUAACAAAAUUGGUCUCAUGAUUUUACCAAUUUUCUACUAUUUCCUAUAAAUUUCCCAAGUUAGCAGUAAAAAGAAAAGAAUAAAAGCAUGAAUAGUAUCGGGCCGGAACCAGCCUAAUCGGCCCAAACCCACGCAGAAACCGGCGCGCCCGCUCCCACGCUAAUCAAUUUGCGUCGGGGUCCCUAGGGUUUUAAAUAUCCAAUAAAGUGUCCCUGAGUACUAUUGAUGUGUCUCUCUGACCAUUGCAUAAAAGCCCUCCUAUUUCUAUUUCUUCACGACUCCGGUCCCCGACUGCUCGCCGGUUGAACACAUGGCCGAAAUCGCGUGUACUCGCCGACGGUGACCUGUUCCGAUGGUGUCGAGUACAGGGGCUCCAUCACUGAUGUUAUCCAAACACAUCCAUGUGCUUAACUCGACCAGUUCGCCACUAAAUCGUAUCUGUCUGUGACAAUAGCAGAGCAAACUCUCCGGCGAGCCCGUUCCGGUUUACACAAGUUGGUCACGUUCAAUCCAAGGACUCGGAACGAAUCAGUGACCUACUAGGACUAUGAUGCUUGCACAAACUUGGACGGAGGCAACCCGAAAUGGCCGGUCGACAUGGCAAUGUCCACGGCGGCGUUCCCUAAGCUACGGGAGCUUCACUAGCAGUAAAGAAUGCUAAAACAUGAACCUGGAAGGCAUGAACUGACCUGAGAAUGGUUGGCCGCAGCGCGAUGCCUCACGGCGGCGACAGCGACCGAUUUGGGGGAAAUUCCAAAUUCUUGGGCUACGGUGGAUGGAUCGAGGUGAGGAGUGGUGCACUGAGCGUGUAACAAGAGGGUGGAACAGGGAGGGCACUCAAUUUAUAGAGACUGGCUAUAGGUGCUACGAAUUUUGGACCGAGGUGAGCUCACAGCGGUGAAGAGAUGAGUCAUCGGAGCUCGUCUACUAUGGCGCUCAAAGGGGUAAGGGCUCGGGACAGUAAUUGGC
RNAcentral lists this long non-coding RNA (2698 nucleotides) under Zea mays. RNAcentral's name for it is "long non-coding RNA (ZMAY_LNC004354)". Lineage: Eukaryota; Viridiplantae; Streptophyta; Magnoliopsida; Poales; Poaceae. The record is from RNAcentral.